This 1918-nucleotide long non-coding RNA is filed under the name Panthera leo (lion). RNAcentral's name for it is "lncRNA (ENSPLOG00000020844.1)". The record is from RNAcentral. Lineage: Eukaryota; Metazoa; Chordata; Mammalia; Carnivora; Felidae.
CCCCGCCACCUCCCCUGCGCUGAGGUCAUCGCCCGCUGACGUCAGUGCUGGGAACCUGAGCCGGGCUUGCGGGCCGAGGGAGGCGCCGGGAGAAAAGGGGAGCCGGGGAGGGGCCGAAGCCUCUGGGCGGAGGAGUGCUGCGUCCAGUUCGCGGCCAGGAUGCCUGGACCUCCUCUCCUCUCCGCCGGUCCUUCCAGAUUUAGGUCACCGGCCACCUCCUCCAAGAAGCCUCCGCUGAUAACACCUCUCUCUCCCACGCGGCCCCUUUUCUGGCUCCCACAUUUUCCAACGCCCACGAGGACGGUGCGACAACAUGAGGCGAAGUGUUCUGCAUUGCUCAGGAUGUGUCUUCGCCUCCUCGUUGGUGAUGACGUACCUUGUGUAGGGCAUCGGCUUCACUGGUGACAGCCUCGCUCUGCUGCCCAGAGCCGAUAAGAAACACCACCCAGGGAGGACGAGACGCCUCUUCCUCACUUCCUAAUCAGGGCGCAAACACUGCCAAACAUAUUCACAACCGUCUGCAAUGUCGCUGGGUAAUGUCCAGACGUCUUUUAGGGUCCCCUGCCAUCUUCUCACAAAGUUAUCUCUCAAGAGCAGCUCGAGGCCGGCCAGUCUGGGGGUUAUUCUUUACAAUGAGAAGCGGGUGACAAAGACAGAAGAAAAUGACAUUGUCCUUCAAACCUGUUAACAAAUCCUGCGUGAAAGCGAGGGUGUCAGCCCUUUUCAAAUGGUCUGCCUUUAAACCCCUUCACCCAGCCCAAAGUGAACCGAGAACAGGAACGGAAAUAGAUAAUGCAAAGGUGAUCAGGGUUGAGGGUUAAGUGGAAAACUACCCAUCUGGACUGAAGGAAGUCUUGGUAAGAUAUAAGCAUGCGAAGGGCUUCCUAAUCUCCAGGCCUGGACAAUUUCCAAGUCCCUGAGGACAGUUUCUGAGAACCCCUGGAGGGAUGGAGAAGAGUCAGAAAGCUAAAAAAGUAACCCUUCCUCCACUUGCUCUGAAGCUCCAAGCAAAAAGAUUUAAUUGUACAAAAGGCACCCACCUAAAUUAGGCAACCGAGUAACUUCCUGAUAGGAAGGUAAGCAUCUAGGACGUGCUAACAAGAUGCCUGCUCCGGUCAGGACUCAGACGCUCUGAGGUGCGGGACAUCUUUACAGGGAGGGCGGAGCUGGCCACCGGACGUGGUGGGGUGAAGGCCGCAGGCUCCUUCCCCAAGCGGCAUCUGGAAAGUAUCAGAACCUCAGCGGCUGCUUCAUGACUUCCAGGUGAUGAACAGAAAUAGCCAUGGCAGGUGCGGGUUCCAUUUGCUGCCACGAAGCUGGGAGCCCACCAGACUUGCGGUGGCAAAAACACCCAGGGCCUCUCUAAGCCCUGAGCACACCCACAGGUGAGCUGGGGAGCUGGGGAGGCUCAUGUUCCCCACAGCACAGUCCCUGGUUUCUUCCCCAUUUGCUCAACUCUCUCUCCCAAAUGCCAACUGUAUAGCUUAAAAGCCACAAUCUGGAAGCCCCUGAGGUGGAGCUGACCACAGAUAUAUUGUCUGGCCUGCAUAGCGUUUAAGUAUUUUAAAAAAUAGGUGUUGGGGAGCCUGGGGGGCUCAGGCGGUUAAGCCUCCGACUUCAGCUCAGGUCGUGAUCUCACGGUCCGUGGGUUCGAGCCCCGCGUCGGGCUCUGUGCUGACAGCUCGGAGCCUGGAGCCUGCUUCGGAUUCUGUGUCUCCCUCUCGCUCUCUCUCUGCCCCUCCCUCCCUCGUGCUCCGUCUCUCUCUGUCUCUCAGAAAUAAGUAAAAAUGUUUAAAAAAGUUAAAAAAAAAUUAGUUGUCAACAUUUAACUGGUCGGAAGCGUCCUGUUUUUUAAAACCCUCGAAUUAUGAUUUCUCUUUAAAAACCUGAAUAUGUGAACACUGGUCCCACGUUCCUG